CCCGUCCUCCCCCGUACCCGUUUCCUCCCGCAGUCUUCUUCUUCCUCUCCCGAGUCCUGACCUACCCUACCCCCGCCCCGCCCUGCCCCUGCCCUUCCCAAGCAAGCUCCAAUCCCGGCCGAUGCGCCUCCAGCCUCCCCGCCCCGCUCCACGACCCCCGCGCCGCGCCCUCGAGCUAGCUCCCCGCAGCUUGCCAGCGCCCUCCGCCUCUCGCCACGCGCGUCGCGGCCAUCGGCCUCAUCGCGCGGGUCGCUUGCUGCCUCGACCCCACCCCGCUCGCAGCCUCGGCCGGGCGACCAUCGGUGAGCUUCAUGUAAUCCGGCGAUUGGAUGAGCUCAGCCGGCCUCAACGAAUUUCGGCUGCGCUGGUGCACGCGCGCUGCGCGCCGUCUUGAUCCGCCCCUGCUUCGAGCUCGGAGUUCGUAUUUCGGCCGGGCGGAUUUUAGGGUUCCAUGCUCGCGUUCCGAAUUGGGGUAUGUGCUGAUUAUCCCCUCGAUGUUUUAGCCGGCUUCGGAAUCUGGCAGGUGCUGGAAAGGCGAUGCGCACCCUCGUGUUCUUGCUACCCGUUAGGUGCAUUGGUGGCCGGCUGCUCUUUUCAGAUUUCAUGUUCGUCGCACACCUGUCUUGUUAAUCAAUGACCCGAGGAAGCUCUUUUUGCAGCGUAAAUAAGGUAUAGAUUUAUCAUUUCAAACGUCGUCAAGACAAGCUUUAACUUGUUAUCCAACAAACUUGUGAACACCAGAUGAUUUAACAGAAACAGAGGAUUACUUCGAGGGAAUAGAAGAAAUACUGGU
This is a long non-coding RNA of Triticum aestivum (bread wheat), 793 nucleotides long. RefSeq lists it as uncharacterized. The transcript has 5 exons. NCBI's taxonomy places the organism in Eukaryota, Viridiplantae, Streptophyta, Magnoliopsida, Poales, Poaceae. The record is from RefSeq and is a predicted model, not a curated record.